RNAcentral lists this ribosomal RNA (603 nucleotides) under Staphylococcus pseudintermedius. RNAcentral describes it as "partial 23S ribosomal RNA". It matches the Rfam family "Bacterial large subunit ribosomal RNA", at positions 962 to 1567 of the family's 2925-position model. Lineage: Bacteria; Bacillati; Bacillota; Bacilli; Caryophanales; Staphylococcaceae. The record is from RNAcentral.
GCCAAAUAAUUUAACUUGGGAGUCAGAAUGUGGGUGAUAAGGUCCAUAUUCGAAAGGGAAACAGCCCAGACCACCAGCUAAGGUCCCAAAAUAUAUGUUAAGUGGAAAAGGAUGUGGCGUUGCCCAGACAACUAGGAUGUUGGCUUAGAAGCAGCCAUCAUUUAAAGAGUGCGUAAUAGCUCACUAGUCGAGUGACACUGCGCCGAAAAUGUACCGGGGCUAAACAUAUUACCGAAGCUGUGGAUUGUCCUUUGGACAAUGGUAGGAGAGCGUUCUAAGGGCGUUGAAGCAUGAUCGCAAGGACAUGUGGAGCGCUUAGAAGUGAGAAUGCCGGUGUGAGUAGCGAAAGACGGGUGAGAAUCCCGUCCACCGAUUGACUAAGGUUUCCAGAGGAAGGCUCGUCCGCUCUGGGUUAGUCGGGUCCUAAGCUGAGGCCGACAGGCGUAGGCGAUGGAUAACAGGUUGAUAUUCCUGUACCACCAUUAUUCGUUUUAAGCGAUGGGGGGACGCAGUAGGAUAGGCGAAGCGUGCUGUUGGAGUGCACGUCCAAGCAGUGAGAUUGAGUGUUAGGCAAAUCCGGCACUCUUAAGAUUGAGCUGUGAU